AUUACUGCAACUCUUUAUUAUCAGGCUGCCCCAAUAAGUCCAUUAAAACGCUCCAAUUAAUUCAGAACGCUGCAGCACGAGUACUGACAGGAACUAGAAAAAGAGAUCACAUCUCUCCUGUACUAGCUUCUCUGCAUUGGCUCCCUGUAAAAUGUAGAAUAGAAUUUAAAAUCCUCCUCCUCACCUAUAAAGCUCUUCAUGGUCAGGCCCCUUCAUAUCUUAAAGAGCUCAUAGUACCCUAUUACCCCUCUAGAACACUACGUUCUCUGAAUGCUGGGCUACUUGUGGUUCCUAUAGUCUCUAAAAGUAGAACAGGAGCCAGAGCCUUCAGUUACCAAGCUCCUCUCCUGUGGAACCAGCUUCCAGUUGUGGUUCGGGAGGCAGACACCCUCACCACAUUCAAGAGUAGGCUUAAGACAUUCCUCUUUGAUAAAGCUUAUAGUUAGGGCUGGAUCAGGUGAGUCUUGAACCAUCCCUUAGUUAUGCUGCUAUAGGCCUAGACUAUCGGGGGAUUUCCCAUGGUGCACUGAGCUCCUCCCUUCCUCUCUUUCUGCACUCAUUCAUGUCCCAUUAAUGCAUGUUACUAACUUCACUUCUUCCCCGGAGUUCUUGUGCUUUCUCGUCUCGCAGGUUCUCAUCGAUCCUGGUGGAGCCUCCUGCCAUGGUCCUGCUAGAUUGCCAUUACCAAUACUGUUGUUGCUGUGCACCUGUCUGUCUGUCUGUCUGUCUGUCUGUCUCUCUCUCUCUCUCUCUCUCUCUCACCCCAACUGGUCGAGACAGACGACCACCCACCUAGAGCCGGAGGAUCUGUCCUAGGUUUCUGCCUUUUAACAGGCAGUGUUUCCUUGCCCUUGUCUCCAAGGUCUUGCUCAUGGUGGUACU
Dicentrarchus labrax (European seabass) is the source of this 882-nucleotide long non-coding RNA. RefSeq lists it as uncharacterized. The transcript is spliced from 2 exons. The record is from RefSeq and is a predicted model, not a curated record. NCBI's taxonomy places the organism in Eukaryota, Metazoa, Chordata, Actinopteri, Moronidae.